Molecule: ribosomal RNA, 1774 nt
Filed under: Salmonella enterica subsp. enterica serovar Ealing
Lineage: Bacteria; Pseudomonadati; Pseudomonadota; Gammaproteobacteria; Enterobacterales; Enterobacteriaceae
Description: partial 23S ribosomal RNA
Rfam family: Bacterial large subunit ribosomal RNA
Source: RNAcentral
AACCCCGGCGAGGGGAGUGAAAAAGAACCUGAAACCGUGUACGUACAAGCAGUGGGAGCCCCACCACUAAGCCAGUGGUGAACUCCACAUACGCAUCCUUUGCUGAGGAUACGGUUAACGGAGCGAAAGCGACGUUCAACCUCAAAAGAAGCAGAGGGGGCUUAGUGGUGGGGUGACUGCGUACCUUUUGUAUAAUGGGUCAGCGACUUAUAUUCUGUAGCAAGGUUAACCGAAUAGGGGAGCCGGAGGGAAACCGAGUCUUAAUUGGGCGUUAAGUUGCAGGGUAUAGACCCGAAACCCGGUGAUCUAGCCAUGGGCAGGUUGAAGGUUGGGUAACACUAACUGGAGGACCGAACCGACUAAUGUUGAAAAAUUAGCGGAUGACCUGUGGCUGGGGGUGAAAGGCCAAUCAAACCGGGAGAUAGCUGGUUCUCCCCGAAAGCUAUUUAGGUAGCGCCUCGUGAAUUCAUCUCCGGGGGUAGAGCACUGUUUCGGCUAGGGGGUCAUCCCGACUUACCAACCCGAUGCAAACUGCGAAUACCGGAGAAUGUUAUCACGGGAGACACACGGCGGGUGCUAACGUCCGUCGUGAAGAGGGAAACAACCCAGACCGCCAGCUAAGGUCCCAAAGUCAUGGUUAAGUGGGAAACGAUGUGGGAAGGCCCAGACAGCCAGGAUGUUGGCUUAGAAGCAGCCAUCAUUUAAAGAAAGCGUAAUAGCUCACUGGUCGAGUCGGCCUGCGCGGAAGAUGUAACGGGGCUAAACCAUGCACCGAAGCUGCGGCAGCGACACUGUGUGUUGUUGGGUAGGGGAGCGUUCUGUAAGCCGUUGAAGGUGUGUCGUGAGGCAUGCUGGAGGUAUCAGAAGUGCGAAUGCUGACAUAAGUAACGAUAAUGCGGGUGAAAAACCCGCACGCCGGAAGACCAAGGGUUCCUGUCCAACGUUAAUCGGGGCAGGGUGAGUCGACCCCUAAGGCGAGGCCGAAAGGCGUAGUCGAUGGGAAACGGGUUAAUAUUCCCGUACUUGGUGUUACUGCGAAGGGGGGACGGAGAAGGCUAUGUUGGCCGGGCGACGGUUGUCCCGGUUUAAGCGUGUAGGUGUGUGUUCCAGGUAAAUCCGGUUCACUUUAACACUGAGGCGUGAUGACGAGGCACUACGGUACUGAAGCAACAAAUGCCCUGCUUCCAGGAAAAGCCUCUAAGCAUCAGGUAACAUCAAAUCGUACCCCAAACCGACACAGGUGGUCAGGUAGAGAAUACCAAGGCGCUUGAGAGAACUCGGGUGAAGGAACUAGGCAAAAUGGUGCCGUAACUUCGGGAGAAGGCACGCUGACAUGUAGGUGAAGUGAUUUACUCAUGGAGCUGAAGUCAGUCGAAGAUACCAGCUGGCUGCAACUGUUUAUUAAAAACACAGCACUGUGCAAACACGAAAGUGGACGUAUACGGUGUGACGCCUGCCCGGUGCCGGAAGGUUAAUUGAUGGGGUCAGCGCAAGCGAAGCUCCUGAUCGAAGCCCCGGUAAACGGCGGCCGUAACUAUAACGGUCCUAAGGUAGCGAAAUUCCUUGUCGGGUAAGUUCCGACCUGCACGAAUGGCGUAAUGAUGGCCAGGCUGUCUCCACCCGAGACUCAGUGAAAUUGAACUCGCUGUGAAGAUGCAGUGUACCCGCGGCAAGACGGAAAGACCCCGUGAACCUUUACUAUAGCUUGACACUGAACAUUGAGCCUUGAUGUGUAGGAUAGGUGGGAGGCUUUGAAGUGUGGACGCCAGUCUGC